AGCGUAGACGGACUGGCAAGUCUGAUGUGAAAGACGGGGGCUCAACCCCUGGACUGCAUUGGAAACUGUUAGUCUUGAGUGCCGGAGAGGUAAGCGGAAUUCCUAGUGUAGCGGUGAAAUGCGUAGAUAUUAGGAGGAACACCAGUGGCGAAGGCGGCUUACUGGACGGUAACUGACGUUGAGGCUCGAAAGCGUGGGGAGCAAACA
RNAcentral lists this ribosomal RNA (207 nucleotides) under uncultured bacterium. RNAcentral's name for it is "partial 16S ribosomal RNA". It matches the Rfam family "Bacterial small subunit ribosomal RNA", at positions 568 to 774 of the family's 1533-position model. The record is from RNAcentral.